RNAcentral lists this ribosomal RNA (253 nucleotides) under uncultured bacterium. RNAcentral describes it as "partial 16S ribosomal RNA". It matches the Rfam family "Bacterial small subunit ribosomal RNA", at positions 524 to 776 of the family's 1533-position model. The record is from RNAcentral.
UACAGAGGUCCCAAGCGUUGUUCGGAUUCAUUGGGCGUAAAGGGUGCGUAGGCGGUGAUGUAAGUUGGAUGUGAAAUCCCGGGGCUUAACCCCGGAACUGCAUUCAAUACUGCAUUGCUAGAGUACUGGAGAGGAGAUUGGAAUUCACGGUGUAGCAGUGAAAUGCGUAGAUAUCGUGAGGAAGACCAGUGGCGAAGGCGAAUCUCUGGACAGUUACUGACGCUGAGGCACGAAGGCUAGGGGAGCAAACGGG